This 619-nucleotide ribosomal RNA is filed under the name uncultured bacterium. RNAcentral describes it as "bacterial SSU rRNA". It matches the Rfam family "Bacterial small subunit ribosomal RNA", at positions 263 to 882 of the family's 1533-position model. The record is from RNAcentral.
GCCCACCUAGUCUUCGAAGGAUAGGGGUUCUGAGAGGAAGGUCCCCCACAUUGGAACUGAGACACGGUCCAAACUCCUACGGGAGGCAGCAGUGAGGAAUAUUGGUCAAUGGGCGAGAGCCUGAACCAGCCAAGUAGCGUGAAGGAUGACUGCCCUAUGGGUUGUAAACUUCUUUUAUAAAGGAAUAAAGUCGGGUAUGGAUACCCGUUUGCAUGUACUUUAUGAAUAAGGAUCGGCUAACUCCGUGCCAGCAGCCGCGGUAAUACGGAGGAUCCGAGCGUUAUCCGGAUUUAUUGGGUUUAAAGGGAGCGUAGAUGGAUGUUUAAGUCAGUUGUGAAAGUUUGCGGCUCAACCGUAAAAUUGCAGUUGAUACUGGAUAUCUUGAGUGCAGUUGAGGCAGGCGGAAUUCGUGGUGUAGCGGUGAAAUGCUUAGAUAUCACGAAGAACUCCGAUUGCGAAGGCAGCCUGCUAAGCUGCAACUGACAUUGAGGCUCGAAAGUGUGGGUAUCAAACAGGAUUAGAUACCCUGGUAGUCCACACGGUAAACGAUGAAUACUCGCUGUUUGCGAUAUACUGCAAGCGGCCAAGCGAAAGCGUUAAGUAUUCCACCUGGGGAGUA